This 468-nucleotide ribosomal RNA is filed under the name uncultured bacterium. RNAcentral describes it as "partial 16S ribosomal RNA". It matches the Rfam family "Bacterial small subunit ribosomal RNA", at positions 28 to 507 of the family's 1533-position model. The record is from RNAcentral.
GACGAACGCUGGCGGCGUGCUUAACACAUGCAAGUCGAACGGAAAGGCCCUGCUUUUGUGGGAUGCUCGAGUGGCGAACGGGUGAGUAACACGUGAGUAACCUGCCCUUGACUUUGGGAUAACUUCAGGAAACUGGGGCUAAUACCGGAUAGGAGCUCCUGCUGCAUGGUGGGGGUUGGAAAGUUUCGGCGGUUGGGGAUGGACUCGCGGCUUAUCAGCUUGUUGGUGGGGUAGUGGCUUACCAAGGCUUUGACGGGUAGCCGGCCUGAGAGGGUGACCGGCCACAUUGGGACUGAGAUACGGCCCAGCCUCCUACGGGAGCCAGCAGUGGGGAAUAUUGCACAAUGGGCGGAAGCCUUAUGCAGCAACGCCGCGUGCGGGAUGACGGCCUUCGGGUUGUAACCCGCUUUCGCCGGUGACGAAGCGUGAGUGACGGUAAUGGGUAAAGAAGCACCGGCUAGCUAGGUG